Long non-coding RNA from Oncorhynchus tshawytscha (Chinook salmon), 385 nucleotides. The record is from Ensembl. Lineage: Eukaryota; Metazoa; Chordata; Actinopteri; Salmoniformes; Salmonidae.
GGAUCUAUGUGUUUAAGAGUGUGAGCUGGAAAGUGGGCUGGAAAGUGAGCUGCGUUCAGGGGAUCUAUGUGUUUAAGAGUGUGAGCUGGAAAGUGGGCUGGAAAGUGAGCUGCGUUCAGGGGAUCUAUGUGUUUGAGAGUGUGAGCUGGAAAGUGGUCUGGAAAGUGAGCUGCGUUCAGGGGAUCUAUGUGUUUAAGAGUGUGAGCUGGAAAGUGGGCUGGAAAGUGAGCUGCGUUCAGGGGAUCUAUGUGUUUGAGAGUGUGAGCUGGAAAGUGGUCUGGAAAGUGAGCUGCGUUCAGGGGAUCUAUGUGUUUGAGAGUGUGAGCUGGAAAGUGGUCUGGAAAGUGAGCUGCGUUCAGGGGAUCUAUGUGUUUAAGAGUGUGAG